GCUUCCCCCUUCACUCAGCUCUCAUUCUUCUCCUUCCUGCCACCAUGUGAAGAGGGAUGUGUUUGCUUUCACUUCUACCAUGACUGUCAUUGGGUCAAGGUUUUGGCCAGAGAAUAGCAAGGAUGACUUAUCUCUGCUCCACUAUGUCUGGAACCUCUUGGAAUCAUUUGGAGUCUUCUUCACUCUCUUGCCUGGCACCUGGACUGGGAAAACUUGGAACCCACUGGGACUGUUGACCAAAGCACAAACAUGUGGCCUCUUCAUGUGGCUUGGGCUUUCCACAGCAUGGAGGCUGAUUUCUGAGGAGAGGCCCAAAAAUAAUAUACACAAAGAGAGAAGCAGAUGGAAUUUUGAGAGAGAAAAGGAGGAGGUAAAAUGAAGACAGGCAGAGAUGGGAGUGGUGCAGCCAAGAGCCAAGCAACACCUGGCGCCACCAGCAGCUGGAAGAGGAAAAGAAGAGAUUUAUCUCCAGAGUCUUAGGAGGAAGCACAGCAGUGCUUUAAUUUUGGACUUCUGGCUUCCACAAUAAGAAGAGAAUAAAUCGAUGUUGCCUUAGUCCAUCCAGUUUAUGGUAAUUUGUUACAGCACUCUAGGAAACUAAUACAACAAACAAGGCCUGACUGAACAGAGUGGAAAGUUAGCAGAGAGGAAGGAGAGGUGAGACCCUUCUCUUGGCCUAGUGAGAUCUGUUCCCUUAUUGUAGAAGAAAUGUGGGACUCUCUUCUUUUGUGACAUAUGACAAAGUUUUGGCAGGUGGGAAGGAGUGGAGGGCUUUUCAACCUUUUGGGCUAGAUUUCAUCAGUGAUUCCAUGGCAAAGGCUAAAUGUGUUUCAGCACUAUGUUUAAAGUCUGCUGGUUUUACACAUUCAAAUUCUACCCCAACUCAUAUUUCCUGCCUGCUUCUAUCUGUAUUCUCCAGACACAGCAUCAUCUCUCACAUUCUGAAAUAAAAGUGA
RNAcentral lists this long non-coding RNA (956 nucleotides) under Homo sapiens (human). RNAcentral describes it as "HSALNT0242684". Lineage: Eukaryota; Metazoa; Chordata; Mammalia; Primates; Hominidae. The record is from RNAcentral.